CUGUUUUCUGUAUUACUGAAAUGCUUAACACAGAAGAAAUCAACAGGGGUCCCAAAAUGCAACUUUAAAAACAGCUUAAAAGGCUUCUUUAUAGUAACAAGUUAUCUUUUGGACUCCAGGGGAAAUUAAAACAAACAAACAAAAAACCCCACAAAACAGUGCUCCAGGACCUUAAUCAUCUUUCUGGCCCAGACUGGACUGUCCUAGUGUCACUGAGUGAAGCACUGAUAUUCUUUAUUUGAAUAUAAUCUUUUAUAAUCUUAGACACUGUUCAAUUGAGGGGAGAGUAAAGCAUGAGCAAUUGAAAAAAUAUAUGCCUGGACUUCAAAAUUAAAUCUGAAAACUGUAAUUCUUCAGAUGGGGAUCAUGUAACUAUCAAGUCUGCAUUUCUGCUCUGCUGAGAAGACCUUUGUACCUAUGAAGAGCCUGCAAAGCCUAAUGAGAAGAUAGAUCUAGGGAUGCAAGCUUGGGAACUGGAUAAAAACAGUUAUAGAGACGGUGAUGUUUCAGAGUCUAGCAUUUCUGUUACAAAGACUCACAUCUGGUCAUUUCGUACCACAGGGCCUUUCUACUUAUGCUUCUUUACUGUUGUGCUGGACAGCAACGAGGAGCAAAACAUCUUUUGAAAUUCUUCUUGGGAUUGGAUACCUCUAUGGAUAAAAGAGGAAGUCUUUUUGUGUUACUUCUUAUUCAGUGCCAGUGCAGUACUGGAGAAGUAGAAAAGAUCAAGCAGAUUGAAAGCAUUGCUUUAAAUGUUAAUGCAAAUGAGAGAAAUGGUGAUAUACCCUGCAACCACAGAACCAUGAAUUUAGAUGAGUCGUUAUUGGAAAUAAUUCAUGCUAAGUCAGUGAACUAUGGGCAGGAAGAUUGAAAUAUCCAGGAACCAACUGGUAAAGUUGAUAAAUAACAGUAAAUAAUAAGAAGAAUUUCAAAAUCAUCAUGACACAAGUGCCAUCCAGAGAACUGGAAAUGGAGAGGAAGAUCCACAGCAGAUCCUUCCUCAACUUCAAUCAAGAAUACAGGUUAGGAGAUGACCUGCUGGAAGGGAGUUGUGCAGAGAAGGACAUGCAUGUCCUGGUGGACAACUGGUUGGCCAUGAGCCAGCAGUUUGCCCUUGCGGCUGAAAAAGCCAAAGGUAUCCUGGGAAGCAUUAGAAAGAGCAUAGCCAGCAGGACAAGGAAGUUUUUAUAUCUAUUUGUUUGCUGUGGGGAAUUGAUUGAAAAGAUUGAGAGCUGAUUUUCUUGAUACAAAACAGGCAUUAAAUACUUCGAACUGCCCAAAGAAGUAUUCCAUAGCAGAUGACAUCAUGCUGAAAAAUAGAACUGGAGGAAGUUUACCAGAGGGGCUGCUGUUGCUCAAGGAC
Molecule: long non-coding RNA, 1363 nt
Filed under: Gallus gallus (chicken)
Lineage: Eukaryota; Metazoa; Chordata; Aves; Galliformes; Phasianidae
Description: lncRNA (ENSGALG00010017498.1)
Source: RNAcentral